GGGACACGUGGUAUCCUGUCUGAAUAUGGGGGGACCAUCCUCCAAGGCUAAAUACUCCUGACUGACCGAUAGUGAACCAGUACCGUGAGGGAAAGGCGAAAAGAACCCCGGCGAGGGGAGUGAAAAAGAACCUGAAACCGUGUACGUACAAGCAGUGGGAGCACGCUUAGGCGUGUGACUGCGUACCUUUUGUAUAAUGGGUCAGCGACUUAUAUUCUGUAGCAAGGUUAACCGAAUAGGGGAGCCGAAGGGAAACCGAGUCUUAACUGGGCGUUAAGUUGCAGGGUAUAGACCCGAAACCCGGUGAUCUAGCCAUGGGCAGGUUGAAGGUUGGGUAACACUAACUGGAGGACCGAACCGACUAAUGUUGAAAAAUUAGCGGAUGACUUGUGGCUGGGGGUGAAAGGCCAAUCAAACCGGGAGAUAGCUGGUUCUCCCCGAAAGCUAUUUAGGUAGCGCCUCGUGAAUUCAUCUCCGGGGGUAGAGCACUGUUUCGGCAAGGGGGUCAUCCCGAC
RNAcentral lists this ribosomal RNA (515 nucleotides) under Escherichia coli. Its description in RNAcentral is "partial 23S ribosomal RNA". It matches the Rfam family "Bacterial large subunit ribosomal RNA", at positions 419 to 935 of the family's 2925-position model. The record is from RNAcentral. RNAcentral also lists the same sequence under 1 other name. Lineage: Bacteria; Pseudomonadati; Pseudomonadota; Gammaproteobacteria; Enterobacterales; Enterobacteriaceae.